AGCUUCGUGAGUGGCAGUAUCGUAGCCAAUGAGGUUUAUCCGAGGUGCAAUUAUUGCUAAUUGAAAGUUGAGUAUAAAAUCA
Molecule: small nuclear RNA, 82 nt
Filed under: Camelus bactrianus (Bactrian camel)
Lineage: Eukaryota; Metazoa; Chordata; Mammalia; Artiodactyla; Camelidae
Also listed under: 2 other names
Description: U4 spliceosomal RNA
Rfam family: U4 spliceosomal RNA
About the family: U4 small nuclear RNA (U4 snRNA) is a component of the major U2-dependent spliceosome. The structure of U4 snRNA from yeast and human has been reported. U4 snRNA presents a k-turn RNA motif in the 5p-SL related to recognition of Snu13 protein.
Source: Rfam by way of RNAcentral